UCAAGAAACUUCCACAAUGGGCGAAAGCCUGAUGGAGCGACGUCGCGUGAUGGACGAAGUGCUUCGGCACGUAAACAUCUUUUAUGUGGGAAGAAAUUAUUGACAGUACCACAUGAAUAAGGGGCUCCUAACUCUGUGCCAGCAGGAGCGGUAAUACAGAGGCCCCAAGCGUUAUCCGGAAUCACUGGGCGUAAAGGGUGUCGAGGCGGUUGUAUUAGUCGUUCGUAAAAUCUACGAGCUUAACUUGUAGGCGGCGAACGAAACGGUACGACUUGAGGUUUGGAGAGGUGCGUGGAACUCACGGUGUAGGGGUGAAAUCCGUUGAUAUCGUGGGGAACACCAAAGGCGAAGGCAGCGCACUGGCCAAAAUCUGACGCUCACACACGAAAGCUAGGGUAGCGAAGAGGAUUAGAUACCCACGUAGUCCCUGAGCGGGCUGGCAAGGCGCAU
Molecule: ribosomal RNA, 450 nt
Filed under: uncultured bacterium
Lineage: Bacteria
Description: bacterial SSU rRNA
Rfam family: Bacterial small subunit ribosomal RNA
Source: RNAcentral